RNAcentral lists this RNase P RNA (213 nucleotides) under Escherichia coli. RNAcentral's name for it is "partial RNase P RNA component class A". It matches the Rfam family "Bacterial RNase P class A", at positions 1 to 190 of the family's 367-position model. From Rfam's summary of the family: Ribonuclease P (RNase P) is a ubiquitous endoribonuclease, found in archaea, bacteria and eukarya as well as chloroplasts and mitochondria. Its best characterised activity is the generation of mature 5'-ends of tRNAs by cleaving the 5'-leader elements of precursor-tRNAs. The record is from RNAcentral. Lineage: Bacteria; Pseudomonadati; Pseudomonadota; Gammaproteobacteria; Enterobacterales; Enterobacteriaceae.
GAAGCUGACCAGACAGUCGCCGCUUCGUCGUCGUCCUCUUCGGGGGAGACGGGCGGAGGGGAGGAAAGUCCGGGCUCCAUAGGGCAGGGUGCCAGGUAACGCCUGGGGGGGAAACCCACGACCAGUGCAACAGAGAGCAAACCGCCGAUGGCCCGCGCAAGCGGGAUCAGGUAAGGGUGAAAGGGUGCGGUAAGAGCGCACCGCGCGGCUGGU